Non-coding RNA from Pelobates cultripes (western spadefoot toad), 234 nucleotides. Lineage: Eukaryota; Metazoa; Chordata; Amphibia; Anura; Pelobatidae. The record is from the annotation of a GenBank genome assembly.
CUCUAUUCUUCUCCUAAUCAUUUGUCAGAAAAGCUGGGUUACAUUUCCACCAAAUGUGAAUAAAAUCUGCAGUCUGUGCACCACAUCUUUAGCAAAUAUCAUUUUACUUGGGAAUUACUUUUUAGAGUUUUAGUGUUAUUUGAAAGUGUAAAUAAAUGCAAAUAAUCCUAAUUUCCUGUACUGCACUUGUAUUGUCUCAGCACCCACAUCUUAAUAAACUUCUUUUGACUCCCA